ACGCUGGCGGCGUGCUUAACACAUGCAAGUCGAACGGAAAGGCCCUGCUUUUGUGGGGUGCUCGAGUGGCGAACGGGUGAGUAACACGUGAGUAACCUGCCCUUGACUUUGGGAUAACUUCAGGAAACUGGGGCUAAUACCGGAUAGGAGCUCCUGCUGCAUGGUGGGGGUUGGAAAGUUUCGGCGGUUGGGGAUGGACUCGCGGCUUAUCAGCUUGUUGGUGGGGUAGUGGCUUACCAAGGCUUUGACGGGUAGCCGGCCUGAGAGGGUGACCGGCCACAUUGGGACUGAGAUACGGCCCAGACUCCUACGGGAGGCAGCAGUGGGGAAUAUUGCACAAUGGGCGGAAGACUGAUGCAGCAACGCCGCGUGCGGGAUGACGGCCUUCGGGUUGUAAACCGCUUUCGCCUGUGACGAAGCGUGAGUGACGGUAAUGGGUAAAGAAGCACCGGCUAACUACGUG
RNAcentral lists this ribosomal RNA (463 nucleotides) under uncultured bacterium. Its description in RNAcentral is "partial 16S ribosomal RNA". It matches the Rfam family "Bacterial small subunit ribosomal RNA", at positions 33 to 507 of the family's 1533-position model. The record is from RNAcentral.